GCCAACACUAACGGCACUGGUGCCUCCCUGCCCCCUGGCUCGCUAUGGAGAGUAUACCAUAGGGGUGUGCUCAGGACAGUGUUUAGAGAAAAGCCAGUAAAAGCGAAGCUCUCCCUAAGCCUAUCUCCUGUCUGAGGUGAAUGCUCCCACUCCCUGCCGUGUCUCCUCCCACACUGGGGUCCCACCUUUUCUCUCCCCCAGAGUUUUUCAUAGUCUGUGGAGUCAGGUUUUAGGGUCCGUUAAGCUCCCUCUGAGCCCUCUUUUGCAGCCCCGCCAGCCUGGGGUUUGUUGAGAGAGAGGCGCCCCUUGCCGCCUGAGCGGGUCCUCUGGAAUGAGCAGGUGGAAGAGACUCUUCUUUCCCAUGCUGAUUUCAUCCCUUCCUUUUGUCUUCUCUGCAGUCAGACUGGUUCUUCAGUGACGAAGAGGACAAGGGAGAGAGAACCCCUGUGGGCGACAAGGAGCCUCAGGCAGUGCCCAACAUUGAGUACCUCCUGCCCAACAUUGGCAGGACAGUGCCCCCUGGCGACCCGGGGUCAGGUGAGCGCAGGGGCCUGGGAGUGGGGAGGCGGGAGGGUGGACACUGCAUUCCUGAGGGUCCCAGAUGCCUGGCCAGAUGCCCAGCUUCCCUGUGCCACCCCAGCGGGGCCCUCCCCUGCCAGCCACCAUGGAGAUGGGGCUGUUGGGGGCCUUCUCCCUCCCUGGGGAAGUCCAGCUUGCCCCGUGCCCACCUCCUGUCUGCGCAGCUGCCCCGCCCCGGGCAGGGUCGGAGCUUUGUUCCCCCUCUCUCACUGGUUUCUUUCCUCAGCCUUUAAUUUCUCGUGGGCUGGCUGUGUCCCUCUGGGCAUGUUCCUCUUUUUAAUUUUUCUUCCUUUUCUCCUUGCACCCCCGCCUCUCCCUCCUCC
This 902-nucleotide long non-coding RNA is filed under the name Pan troglodytes (chimpanzee). Its description in RNAcentral is "long non-coding RNA NONPTRT007144". The record is from RNAcentral. Lineage: Eukaryota; Metazoa; Chordata; Mammalia; Primates; Hominidae.